AUGUCCAUCUUGGAACCAUUCGGGCAGAAGGCGGGUGGUCUGCUGGACUACGACAGCCUAGUGCCUGCGCGCCCCUCCCGCUCUCCCCCCGUCCGUUCAGCCGGCCACUCAAGUCGUCGACCGAGCUGCUUGUGGCCGAUCCCUCCCGGCAACCCAGGCCCUACCUCCAGCGACCGCGACUUUCUCGGCUACAUCUUCCUCAAUGGCUCCGCCUCCUGGCGCAGCGGCCGUGGAGAGCUCACCCUCCCAUGGCUCCCCAACCUGCGGGCGCCCUACCAGUUCCGCCGCUUCCACUGUACCGCCAAAGAGUACUCCUACCACCUCGUCGACCACGACGGUAACCCGCUCCUCCACGGCCGCCACCGCGUCGCCCACUCUGGCGAGGUCUCUUUCGCGGGCUCGGCCACGCGGCCCGAGCAGGUGCACCUCCCGUUCACCGAUAGGGCCGACGAGAUGCGGGUGAUGUUCAUGUGCACGGUCGCCGGAAAGAGGGACGUGAGGUAUGGGCUUGAGAAGGAGGAGGAGAAGGGCUGGACGGAGGUGGGCACGGAGGUGAGGACGUACGAGCAGAAGCACAUGUGCAACGCGCCGACGAACGACAGCGUAGGGUGGAGGGAUCCGGGCUUCGUCUUCGAUGGCCUCAUGAAUAGGUUGGAGCCCGGAAGGAGGUACUUUUACAAGAUUGUUCUUCCAGUAGCUUGCCCAGCGGAGGAGCUAGCCGUCAUCCCGAGCGGCGCGCUGUUCUCCAUGUUGUCAGGUGACUUGCUGGAGCUAGCAGUGGUUUGGCGGCAUGGUUGCCAGCUAGCUACACAAAUCCAUGACCCCUCAUCAUCUACACAAGUCCUCCCCACCUCCUCCCUCAUGUUGGCUCUGACCGAGACGGCACACCAGUCAGCACCACGAAGGGGUCAAACACAACCAGGCUCUAACUGGGACAUCACACCAGUCAGCACCACGAAGGGGUAA
Molecule: ribosomal RNA, 966 nt
Filed under: Triticum aestivum (bread wheat)
Lineage: Eukaryota; Viridiplantae; Streptophyta; Magnoliopsida; Poales; Poaceae
Description: partial small subunit ribosomal RNA
Source: RNAcentral